Molecule: microRNA precursor, 61 nt
Filed under: Caenorhabditis elegans
Lineage: Eukaryota; Metazoa; Nematoda; Chromadorea; Rhabditida; Rhabditidae
Description: Cel-Mir-10-P1_pre stem-loop
Rfam family: mir-57 microRNA precursor family
Source: RNAcentral
UACCCUGUAGAUCGAGCUGUGUGUUUGAAACAAUCAUACACGAGCUAGACUACAAGGUGCA